Long non-coding RNA from Crotalus tigris (Tiger rattlesnake), 1979 nucleotides. RefSeq lists it as uncharacterized. The record is from RefSeq and is a predicted model, not a curated record. Lineage: Eukaryota; Metazoa; Chordata; Lepidosauria; Squamata; Viperidae. The transcript has 3 exons.
GAAUCUGGAUGUUCUGCUACGGAUACCACAAAGCCUCCUCCCAGAAGAGCUCUCUAUUAAAAUUAAGAAAGAGGAAGCCUGAGCAUCAUGGAAACAGAAGGCACAAACAGAUUCUGCAAAGAGGCUAAAUAAUUCUGAGAGAAUGAAGGAAAGAAUCUUACUUCUGUUCAGGCAACAGCCCUGUGAAGAGUUUCCAAGUGUAAUUUUCUUGAAGUUAAAGUUUGGGUUAUUAUGGUUCACUUAACAGACAGUUUGCCCCAAUUUUUGUGAUCUCAAUGAUAAGAUGACAAGAUUUCUAAUUUAUAAAACCAGGACAGCAUGUUGAGCUCUAUGAACCAUGGCCAAAGGAUAUAUUGAGCUACAUCUAGUUCUCCCCUUUCGUAUUUUAUUUUUCAAAGAAUUUCUCAAAAGAGGUCACUUGUAUUGCAUACCUUAAAUCUAUAUCAUCAGCAUCUUUUUCCCCUUGAACUAUAAUGAAAUAAGCAUAGAAUUGCAAUUCUUUACAACUAUAUGGUAGUUUAUAACUAUAUGGUCCCCUCUGUUGACCACUGAUCUUGUAUUCUUUCACUGUUUUAUUGUUUGCUUUUUGUACUCAACACGUUUAGGAGCAUUGAUUUGUUGAACUUUGUAAGAGGCCAUCAAUAUAGAUGCAUGUUAAUCAUAAAAACAAUACUACCUGAAUAUAAGGAAAAAAAUAUGAUCCUGUGCUUGCCUUCUAAAUUUCAAGUCUAUUAUUUCUUAAAAACUUAACUGUUUCAUUUACUUGUCCCAGAAGCAAAAUAACAAUACCUUUCCACCCAUGUUCUUCACCCCUGUUCUCUAAUCUUGAGCAUUGCAGGCUGAAGAAACCUGUUUCUGUUGUUACUCAUCCAGUUUUGAAUUCUGUAAUCUGUUUUCUAUCACUGACCUUAAAACUUGGAGAUCAGUGUUGUACUUGACAUGCAAUGGUAAUAUUGGGGUUUUGUUUUCCUUGGAUAAAUAAUUUGGUGAUAUACAUUUGUACCUUUGGUUUUUCCUGCCUGUAAAACCUUGCUUUUCUCCACAUUAAAUUUUAUUUUGUUGGAUAAGGCCCAUUGUUCAAGUCCGUCAAGAUCUUUUUGGAUUCUGAGCUUGUCUUCUGGGGUGUUGGCUAUUCCUGCCAGUUUAGUGUCAUCUGCAAAUUUGAUGAGUUCCCCUUCUAUUGCCUCAUCUAAGUCAUUAAUGAAGAUGUUAAAGAGUACUGGGCCUGAGAUGGAACCCUAUGGCUCGCACUGCUUACUUCCCUCCAUGUAGAUGUAGAACCAUUAAGGACGACUUGUUGAAUAUGGUUUGUCAGCCAGUUACAAAUCCAUCUAUCUCACAUUUUCCCAUCUUACCAAGAAAUAGAUUGGAAUUAGGUUCUAAAGAUCUUGAAGAUUGGUCCCCUUCCCCCCUCAAUUUUAGUUUAAAGCAAUUCUAAUAGGAUGAGCCAGUUGUUUUCUGAAUAUAUUCUUUCCAGUUCUUGUGAGGUUCACUCCAUCCCUUGCCAGUGUGUGCCAGACCAGUGUGCCAAACUAGUAUAAUGGAUUAAUGCACUUCAUGGAUCCUAAACAAUGUCCUUAAAAAGGACACUUGAAAGAGAAUUCAGAAAGAACAGUAACCAUUCAUUCAGAUGCCCCUGUCACAUAUUAGAAUGGCAUGCUAUGUUCAGUAGUCAAACUUGUUUUACAGUAAAAUUUUGAUUCCAUGGAUUUGCAGCUUAACAUUUGAGCUCAUUUUUUCCAGCAUAACUGAAUUCAGUGAAGACAACUGAUGUAGUUAUGCAAAUGAAGUAAAUUUAAGUAAAUGAUAUACAUUCAGAUUUAACAGAGAAGCUUUCUCAUCCAAAUGCUCCAUUAAAUUGAGAUUUUAUUGUAUGUUGUCUGACUGUAAAGUAAAAAUUCUCUUUAUGAAGAACUAAGCUUCCAGUUUGCAUUAUAAAGAAAAUGAGUAAGAAUACUCUGACAAUAAAGAAAUAAAAC